CCGGACCUGACUGCUAUCGGAUUGGUACUAAGCCAUGCGAGUCGUUGUAGCAAUACAAGGCGGACGGCUCAGUAACACGUAGUCAACCUAACCUAUGGACGUGGAUAACCUCGGGAAACUGAGAAUAAACCGCGAUAGAUCAUAAUGCCUGGAAUGGCUUAUGGUUCAAACAAUUUAUUGCCGUAGGAUGGGACUGCGGCCUAUCAGCUUGUUGGUGAGGUAAUGGCCCACCAAGGCUAUAACAGGUACGGGCUCUGAGAGGAGAAGCCCGGAGAUGGGUACUGAGACACGGACCCAGGCCCUAUGGGGCGCAGCAGGCGAGAAACCUUAGCAAUGUGCGAAAGCACGACUAGGUUAAUCCGAGUGGUUCCUGCUAAAGGAACCUUUUGUCAGUCGUAAAACCACAGACGAAUAAGGGGUGGGCAAGUCUGGUGUCAGCCGCCGCGGUAAUACCAGCACCUCGAGUGGUCAGGAGGUUUAUUGGGCCUAAAGCAUCCGUAGCCGGCUACGCAAGUCUCCGGUUAAAUCCAACUGCUCAACAGAUGGGCUGCCGGAGAUACUACAUAGCUAGGGAGCGGGAGGGGCAGACGGUAUUCGGUGGGUAGGGGUAAAAUCCACUGAUCCAUCGAGGACCACCAGUGGCGAAGGCGGUCUGCCAGAACGCGUUCGACGGUGAGGGAUGAAAGCUGGGGGAGCAAACCGGAUUAGAUACCCGGGUAGUCCCAGCUGUAAACGAUGCAAACUCGGUGAUGCGUUGGCUUAUGGCCAACGCAGUGCCGCGGGGAAGCCGUUAAGUUUGCCGCCUGGGAAGUACGGACGCAAGUCUGAAACUUAAAGGAAUUGGCGGGGGAGCACCACAAGGGUGAAGCCUGCGGUUCA
This 879-nucleotide ribosomal RNA is filed under the name uncultured archaeon. RNAcentral's name for it is "bacterial SSU rRNA". It matches the Rfam family "Archaeal small subunit ribosomal RNA", at positions 17 to 904 of the family's 1478-position model. The record is from RNAcentral.